Molecule: long non-coding RNA, 354 nt
Filed under: Homo sapiens (human)
Lineage: Eukaryota; Metazoa; Chordata; Mammalia; Primates; Hominidae
Description: HSALNT0140254
Source: RNAcentral
UGGCUUGGGAGUGGAACACCCCUAUUCAUAUUCCAUUUACAGGAGCUAAUCUCAUGGUGGGAACUGCAGUGGCUGAGCAGCAGCAUCUUAGCAGAUACUGUGCUUUAUGAAAGGUGGGUGGGGGUGUAGAUAUUUACUAGACAUCCACCUGUGUCUGCUGCAAUCCUGAAUAGCUGGACAUUUGUCUCAGAUUCCUAAAGAAUGGGCAGCAAGAAGAGAAAGGAGCUAAUUAACAAUGAGGAAAGUGUAUGAACAAUGGAGCAAGCAUGUGACAGAAGACAUUGGCAUGGCUGGGUGACAGGGAGGACCAAGGGAGGGAAGGCAAAAUUGCUCAAAAAAAUGUAGCUAAAUUAG